GCAGAGCUCCUCCACUCAUGAUUUCUACAGAGCCGUGAUUUCUGGUCUGUGCAGGAAAGGAAACACAUUUGCAGCAUUUCAGCUUUUGUAUGAAAUGACAGCCCAUGGAUUCAAUCCCGACUCUUACACCUAUUCAUCGUUGAUCAGAGGAUUGUGCUUGGAGAAGAUGUUGGUUGCUGCUGUUGAUGUAUUUUAUGUCAUGGAGGAAAAUGGAUAUAGGCCUGAUGUUGACAAUUUCAAUGCACUUGUGCUUGGUCUAUGUUGUGUAGGAAAGGAAACACAUUUGCAGCGUUUCAGCUUUUGUAUGAAAUGACUGCCCAUGGAUUCAAUCCUGACUCUUACACCUAUUCAUCGUUGAUCAGAGGAUUGUGCUUGGAGAAGAUGUUGGUUGCUGCUGUUGAUGUAUUUUACAUCAUGGAAGAAAAUGGAUAUAGGCCUGAUGUUGACAAUUUCAAUGCACUUGUGCUUGGUCUAUGCAAAUC
RNAcentral lists this long non-coding RNA (482 nucleotides) under Nicotiana benthamiana. Its description in RNAcentral is "long non-coding RNA (NBEN_LNC006001)". Lineage: Eukaryota; Viridiplantae; Streptophyta; Magnoliopsida; Solanales; Solanaceae. The record is from RNAcentral.